UACAGAGGGGGCAAGCGUUGUUCGGAAUUACUGGGCGUAAAGGGCGCGUAGGUGGCCUUCUAAGUCGAACGUGAAAUCCCUUGGCUCAACCAAGGAACUGCACGGCGAACCGCAUGUCUUGAGAUCGGUAGGGGCGGUCGGAACGAUAGGUGGAGUGGUGAAAUGCGUUGAUAUCUAUCGGAACGCCGAAGGUGAAAGCAGGCCGCUGGGCCGAUUCUGACGCUGAGGUACGAAAGCGUGGGGAGCGAACGGG
This 253-nucleotide ribosomal RNA is filed under the name uncultured bacterium. RNAcentral's name for it is "partial 16S ribosomal RNA". It matches the Rfam family "Bacterial small subunit ribosomal RNA", at positions 524 to 776 of the family's 1533-position model. The record is from RNAcentral.